This 239-nucleotide ribosomal RNA is filed under the name uncultured bacterium. Its description in RNAcentral is "partial 16S ribosomal RNA". It matches the Rfam family "Bacterial small subunit ribosomal RNA", at positions 118 to 353 of the family's 1533-position model. The record is from RNAcentral.
UGGGUAACCUGCCUUAUAGUGGGGGAUAGCCUUUCGAAAGGAAGAUUAAUACCGCAUAAGAUUGUAGUAUCGCAUGAUAUAGCAAUUAAAAGGAGCAAUUCGCUAUAAGAUGGACCCGCGUCGCAUUAGCUAGUUGGUGAGGUAAUGGCUCACCAAGGCGACGAUGCGUAGCCGACCUGAGAGGGUGAUCGGCCACAUUGGGACUGAGACACGGCCCAGACUCCUACGGAGGCAGCAUG